GUCAGAAUGAAGUUUCAAUUUAAUUCCAGUUCUUUAAUCGGGAUCCGUGUUUUCUUCUUCUUCAUGGUUAUAACUGGAAUCGAAGUCUGUUGAUUUAAAUGCCAAAUGCAGAGCUUCAGUUAGACCAUAAGAUAGGAAGUUCAAUUGAAAAGGGAAGAACCAAGAUAGCUGGUCCAAUCAAAUGGCAUAGUUCCAUUGAAUCUUGCGCCUGGCAUCAAGUCUUGACCAAAAAAUAUCUGUUACACAAAUCUGAGCGGCAUCGACCGCAGAGUCCACUUAGGAAAGAAAAGAAGCCGAAAUCAUCUGACCCAACAUCAACAGCCACAGCCACCACCGUCUAAUAAAAAGAACCUGCAGGAAUCCGCCAUGGACCAGACAGAGCUUAGCAGAGGAACUGACCUUUCUGUACGCUUUGAUGCCGGGAAAAAUUCACAGCUGAGAAAUGUGAGUGUCUGCGUGAAUCACAACCAACUAGUUGUCAUAAGAUUGACGAAAAAACGGUUUGGAUUCUUCACAACAUCAAAAGAAUAUGAAGUAGUGGAUCCCCCUAUCAAAGAGGAGGAGGAACGCUUGUACUUGAGGUGAAGACUAAGUUUGGUGGCACUGCCAGCAUUCUUUUCAGGGAUAAGAAACAAAGGGACAUUUGGGAAUCUACAAUAGUAAUCUCCUUAAUAACCAAAAAAUGUGAUCAGAAUAGUGUGCCAGUCACAUGGUUUCCUUUGCUGAAUUUCGAAACCUUUGUUUGGAUAUCACAUGCGCACAAUCGUCAAAAAAUGCUCUCUGACUGAAGAUGUACGGGGUAGCGUACUGUUUGUGGCCUAAAGUCCUCAGUUUCUACUGUUUCUGAUAAACGGAUGUUAGGUCUGCUCUUGCUGUGAUUAGUUGAAUUCGAUUAUAUAUUGGUUGCCA
Nymphaea colorata (pocket water lily) is the source of this 909-nucleotide long non-coding RNA. RefSeq lists it as uncharacterized. NCBI's taxonomy places the organism in Eukaryota, Viridiplantae, Streptophyta, Magnoliopsida, Nymphaeales, Nymphaeaceae. The transcript has 4 exons. The record is from RefSeq and is a predicted model, not a curated record.